This is a long non-coding RNA of Ipomoea triloba (trilobed morning glory), 805 nucleotides long. RefSeq lists it as uncharacterized. The record is from RefSeq and is a predicted model, not a curated record. NCBI's taxonomy places the organism in Eukaryota, Viridiplantae, Streptophyta, Magnoliopsida, Solanales, Convolvulaceae. The transcript is spliced from 3 exons.
UGAAACCCUAAAACACAUAUUCUUCCGCAGGCCUCCUUCACUCCACUUUCCGCUCCUCCCCAUCAUGUCUCUUACAGCCGCUCUUCUUCUGGCACCCUUAUCCCCCCACCAGCCGUGGAGGAAAGCGAAAGGGAAUACUGGUCAACCAUUUAAGAAAUUUGAUUUUGCGCAAAUUUGAAAUGGUGAUCGGAAAUGCGGUUACGAUGGGUGUUCGGGAGCUCUGAAAUGGAAAGAUUAGAUAUGUUUCUCAGUGCUUGGUUCUGAGGAUAGUGCCGUUUCCGUUCAGGAAUUGCAGGUGAACGAAGAAGAAGAAGAUAAAGAGCAAGAAGAAGACCCUCAAUUCGGUUUCGGCCAUUCAUGGAGGUGGAGAUGUUGGCAAUCACAACGAUCUGGAAAUGUUCACUUUGGUGGAAGCGGAGAGCCGGAGACUAUGCCAGAAGACCCUGACUGGUGUGCAUUAAGGAUCCUUGGUUAUGCAGGGCCACAGGGUGCUUGGUAUCCUGUUGAAACGGAUUUCUAACAGUUUGUGCAUGUGUGUCCAGAUUAUACUUUGCCUCUCCUAGUCUCCCUUUUCUCCACAACAAAUGAGAAUCACACAAUCAUUUAUCCAAAUAUCAUUGCAUACAUAUAAAAAAUGGGAGAAGUUCAUACACUAAAACCUUACCUUACCUCUUGUUUCUUGUCUUUCCCUUUGCUUUAGUGUAAAUAUGGGAUUUUACCUUGAAACAUGUAUUUACAGGCAGCUUCUAAGUAUUUACAGUCGGCUUCUAAAUGAAAAUUCAAUGUUUUUAAAGCAUUUACGUAA